AUAUGAGUAGCAGUAUUUUCUCAAAUUUACAGAAUUGUUGUGCCUGAGAGCUAUUGGUUUUCUACGCCCUGUCGAAGGUCUUGUUUGCUACCUAUUUAGCCUCAUGGCUGUGACUUAACAAGCUCACACACAGUUUGCAUUUAGUAUUGGAUUUGGGAUGUUAUCAAAAAAUAUGUUUGAUUUCUCUAGUCUCAUUUUAUCUCUUUCACUACGCAGUUAAAGGAAAUAAGGACCUGUUGCACAAGUGUAUGCCAAUUCUGAGCUGAGCUUAUGUGGUGGUGUCUUUGUGAUCGCUAGGGCUAUCACCAUGAGUACCUGCAGAGGGAGUCAGGAUUUAGCAGCAAGUUCAUUGUGCUGCAGAUUAACACCAAAGUCACAGAUGGUUUCCACAAGUGAGUUGCACCUUAUGGCUGUGCUUCUUGCAUCUAUUGAUGACUCUGAGUGGUUUCGAUAUGGUUGAAGAAAUAAUAUUGGAUUGCAUUUUAGAAACUAUUCAUCAUGAACCUGUUACUUCACAGUAGGUGGAAGUGUCUAGCACGACCUUACAUUGUGGUAGUGGAGGCAGAUCAGAGCAAUGACUUAUUAGGCUAGAUAGGUUGGACUUUAUCAGUCCUAGUUUCAAAGUUGUGUUGGCAAUGCAUGAUUAGUCAUUUAAUUUCUCCAGUAAAAGGAAAAGGUGUAAGCUGCACCUUUGUCAUCAUCUAUUUGUCAGUUUUCUACUAAAAUUGUAUAUCCGUACUGGGUAGCAUUGUUUUUUAGGGCGUAGAAUUAGUAUGACUAAUGCAAAUGUAGGAAGAUGUCGCAAUAUGAUUUGUAGCUUGAUGGUGUUCCUAACAUUUAGAUAAUAAAAUAAAUGGCACAAUCCUUAUGCUAUCAUUUGGCAGAUAGUACUGGAUAUAUAUCCAUGUCGUAGAGGUCUAACAACAAUCCAACGCCUAUCGUCAGGUAUUUCACAACUUCCUGUGUGCUUGCUAUUUUUUGACAUAUAUUUCUUUGAGGUAUACUUACUGGAUUCACAAGUAGUAAAUUAGUUUUCUAUUAAUUGCUUUCCUCUCACUAUUUAUAUUUUGCUAAUUGCCUUAUCCUAAAAUUAAUUAGAAUGCGCUUGUACUUGGUUUUUGUUCUGAACAAUAUAUAUCCUUCAUGCAAUCUAGUUUUGAUUUUUAAGAGAUAAGUUUUGAUUUGGUCGCUGGAGAUCUGCUGUUGAGUUCUUAUUUCUUUGCGCCUCUGAACACAGGAAGCCAAAGAUCUGUUGUUGCUAGAGCUGAGCCAGAUGUAGGACGAGGACACUAUUGAUCUUCUACAAGCCUAAGCUUGUAAGGCAAGGAUCUUAUUUCUUGCUCUUCGAUGAUGGAUUUUGAUUGCAGUUCUAGCUAGCUAGUAUAUUAGAUUUUUUA
Molecule: long non-coding RNA, 1397 nt
Filed under: Sorghum bicolor (sorghum)
Lineage: Eukaryota; Viridiplantae; Streptophyta; Magnoliopsida; Poales; Poaceae
Description: long non-coding RNA (SBIC_LNC018786)
Source: RNAcentral